AUUGCAGCGGCUUCUCUUCGUUGCCUAGACCAGAAGAAAGCCGGGACGUGAAGGAGCCGGGGGGGUUUUGCUUGCUGGAGGCCCGUUAAACCACCGAUAAAUACAGCUUCCUCACAGUGUCUUCGUCGCUCGAGAGACGUUUGUGACCCAACUUGACCCAUCGUACUUUUUCAUCUUAGAACUAAUUUCACAAACAUGUCCUGGCAAAGCUACGUGGACAACCUGAUGGCUGAUGGCAGCUGCCAGGACGCGGCCAUUGUUGGGUACACGGACGCCAAAUACGUCUGGGCAUCGUUUGUCGGCGGUACCUUUGCCAACAUUACGCCCGACGAAAUCGAUGUGCUAAUAGGAAAGGACCGUGAGGGAUUCUUCACCAGUGGGCUGACCUUAGGCAAUAAAAAGUGCUCCGUAAUCAGAGACAGCCUCCAAAUUGAAGCCGACUGGACAAUGGACAUCCGGACAAAGAGUCAAGGAGGAGAGCCAACAUACAACGUUUCUGUAGGCAGAGCUGGCAAAGUCUUGGUCUUGGUAAUGGGCAAAGAAGGGGUCCAUGGAGGCGGAUUGAAUAAGAAGGCAUACUCGAUGGCAAAAUACUUGAGGGAUUCAGGGUUUUAGAUUAGUUUUGAUGUAGCUUAUGUGGCAUAGUUGAGGGAGAGAGAAAAACAAAUGAAAAGGCAAACAAAAAACACAAAACUUCAAAAAAAAAAUAGACAAAAAAAAAAACCAAAUUGCUGUCAAACCCAUUUUUCUCCCCCGGACAGUCCAAUUAAACAAAAUCCCAGGAGCAUUUCUAACACAACGCAGGGUUCAGGCUCUGUCCUCAACAAUGUAGCCCCACAUUUAGCAAGCAUUGGUUUUUGUCAUGGGGAAGGAAGGUGUCCAUGGAGGGCAGCUCAACAAGAAAGCUUUUCAGAUGGCUGAAUACCUGAGGAAGUCCGGAUACUAAAGCAGCCUGUACCCAGCCACCUAGCAGCUCACCCUUACCACCCUGUUGCAUUUCACACUACUUCCAGUCCUAGUUGGUAGUUACUUUGUUUUUCUUUUUCUGCCUUCUCUCCUACCCAUUUGUUAUCCCUCUUUUUUUCUUUUUUCUUUUUUUUUUUUUGUUAUCUUCCCCUAACCCGCCCUCUUCCCUCUCCCCCCAACACACUUGCGCUGUGUACUCUUUACCCCCUUAAGCACUAUAAGUUGAUCCAUAGCAAAGAUGAGCAUGUUGCUAACAGGUUGUCAUGACAAAUCUGUACUUAACCAAGACCAGCAAAAAAAAAAAAAAAAAAAAAAAAAGAUUCUGGCCAAACACUUGGACAAUGAAGGCUAUAGCGUCAAUUUGAGGUAGUUAUUUCUUUCUUUCUUGCUCUGUCAUUGUGCCCAUUACUUAAAACCCCAAAUCCUGAUCAUACACACUCCCUCCCUGAGCAGCCGAUGCCUAUGGAGCACUUGAGCGGUAACCAAGCUCGUCAUGUCUUCCUUUUAUUUUCUCCAUCAUGUCCGGGAGGGGAGACUCCGUGCAUAUCUUGAUCCACUGUUGUUUCCCCAUCACACCCACCACGCAAGCACCCCCCCCACCCCAACCUCCUUCUUCCUCUCCACACUCCUGCCAAAAUUUUCUGUUCCUCCCCUUUCCCUGUUUCCCCAUCCUGUUUGCUCAAAGCAGGUGACACUACAAACCUCACAGGAGACUCUCAUCUUCACCACCCAACUAGUUCUCUAACUCCCCUCUCCUUUCAGAUGCACUGCACUGUCCUGGACAUAUUUUAUACACAGAGGGGGGGGGGUGGCAUGUGUGUGGGGCUGCUUGGAUCAGCCCAGUUAACGAUCAUGAAUCGGAUUUGCGAGUGUUGGUGUCGUCCAGAUGCUGGUAGCCUCUCCUCCCAUCAUCACAACCUCCCCGACUACACGAAAACCCAUGGACAUUCCACAGUAACAAUGGCUCAGGCACUUAAAACUGUUUUUGUUUGCCAGCUCCUGUAAUAUAUAUAUUUUUUUUUUUUCGUUUUUGAAAGGCUGCCAUUUUUGGACAGUAGAUAUCCCAGCAUAUAACCAUCUGGAGUAUGUCCAGUUUGAAUUUUUUUCUUUUUAUAGGACCAAGUGUAGUCGAAGCUCGGGUGUUUAUACAAUUGCUCUAAAUCAUGUGAUGGAUGACUGCUAACUUUUUUUCUGAUAAAGGAAACGCUAACCAGACAGAAAUACAUACUAUGGUUAAAAAAAUAUGAAGCUACAGGGAAGGUAAGGGUGGGAGUAUCUGAAGAAAAUUCUCAUUUCACUUUCUUCUUUGUUUAGAAAAUAAACUGCAUUUGUACAAACCCAUGCUGUGUUGACAACUACAAAACUGUGGAAUAAAUUGCCUUUUACUUUAUAGUCAACUGAGCUCUGGGGUAUCACACGGUCUGUCCACGGUCAGUACUGCUAACUAACGUCCAACUGAAGAAAAAAAAAAAAAAACUUUCAAAAGUAGAAAUGACACUCAAUGGGAGAUGGGAUUGGUUGGAACAAAGACGCUUAUGGUUGUCUUGUCGAAACUUAACUGCAGAACCUGUGUAUCCUGUGCCAUAAUGUAGAGAGAUCUGUUGCUGUUGUAAGAUGGAUUUUACCCACUGUCCACUAAGGAGUCAUUUCAUUGGCACUUUCUUUUUUCUUUCUUUCUUUUUUUUUUUUUUUUUUUUUUUUUUUCUUUCUUUA
RNA transcript from Seriola aureovittata, 2679 nucleotides. It is a transcript of the gene named profilin 2b, with no coding region annotated. The record is from RefSeq and is a predicted model, not a curated record. Lineage: Eukaryota; Metazoa; Chordata; Actinopteri; Carangiformes; Carangidae. The transcript is spliced from 4 exons.